ACUCUGAUAGCCAAUAUCCUGCUUUUACCUCACCCUCAACCAACACAGGACGGAGUGAUAUCUGUAAUAAGGGAAAACAGUUUAAGGCUGGGCAUAGCGCUGCAUGCCUGUAAUCCCAGCUACUUGAGAGGCUCAGGUAGGAGAAAUACAAGUUUGAGGUCAGCCUCAGCAACUUAGCAAGACCCUAAGUAACACAGGGAGACCAUGUCUCAAAAUAAAAAAAUAAAAAGGGCUGGGGAAAAAAGGGUCUAGGAAUUGGCUACCAUGCUUUUAUAAAAACUGGUGGUGUCUAUCCCUUCCUGUGCUGGAGGGCAGAAGAGAGGAUAAUGAAACUUGGAAAUUCAAGCAGUGUUUAGAUGGAGAAGAUCAGGGGAACAGAGAAAGAGGAAGGAAAGGGAAACUGCCUCAGUUGUGGCAGGAAAUCCAAGUCAUUUGGGACCACCCAGGCAGCGGUGAUUUGAGUGGAGGGUUUCAUUAUGUUCCCCUGAGUGGCCUUGAAUUUCUGGGCUUAAGCAAUCUUCCUGCCUCAGCAUCGUGUUAGCAGUAGUAAAAGAGCCUAAAGAUGCAUGUUCUGGAGCCAGACAAGAAGUAAACAGUCAGCAGGUAAG
This is a long non-coding RNA of Marmota monax (woodchuck), 608 nucleotides long. RefSeq lists it as uncharacterized. The record is from RefSeq and is a predicted model, not a curated record. Lineage: Eukaryota; Metazoa; Chordata; Mammalia; Rodentia; Sciuridae. The transcript has 3 exons.